RNAcentral lists this ribosomal RNA (163 nucleotides) under Agrostis stolonifera. Its description in RNAcentral is "5.8S ribosomal RNA". It matches the Rfam family "5.8S ribosomal RNA". Rfam says of the family: 5.8S ribosomal RNA (5.8S rRNA) is a component of the large subunit of the eukaryotic ribosome. It is transcribed by RNA polymerase I as part of the 45S precursor that also contains 18S and 28S rRNA. Functionally, it is thought that 5.8S rRNA may be involved in ribosome translocation. RNAcentral also lists the same sequence under 8 other names. The record is from RNAcentral. Lineage: Eukaryota; Viridiplantae; Streptophyta; Magnoliopsida; Poales; Poaceae.
CACACGACUCUCGGCAACGGAUAUCUCGGCUCUCGCAUCGAUGAAGAACGUAGCGAAAUGCGAUACCUGGUGUGAAUUGCAGAAUCCCGCGAACCAUCGAGUCUUUGAACGCAAGUUGCGCCCGAGGCCAUUCGGCUGAGGGCACGCCUGCCUGGGCGUCACG